UGAGGGAUAUUGGGCAAUGCCCGAAAGGGUGACCCAGCAACGCCGCGUGGAGGAUGAAGGUCGUAAGAUUGUAAACUCCUGUUAGAGGGGAAGAAUAACUAAGUUUGGAGCUUAGUAUGACUGUACCCUCAGAGAAAGCCCCGGCUAACUACGUGCCAGCAGCCGCGGUAAUACGUAGGGGGCAAGCGUUGUCCGGAUUUACUGGGUGUAAAGGGCGCGCAGGCGGAAUGGAAAGUCAGUGGUGAAAUCCUACAGCUUAACUGUAGAACUGCCUUUGAUACUUUUAUUCGUGAGUUCGGGAGAGAGAGACGGAAUUCCUGGUGUAGUGGUGAAAUACGUAGAUAUCUGGAAGAACACCAGUUGCGAAGGCGGUCUCUUGGUCCGAUACUGACGCUGAUGCGCGAAAGCGU
Molecule: ribosomal RNA, 410 nt
Filed under: uncultured bacterium
Lineage: Bacteria
Description: bacterial SSU rRNA
Rfam family: Bacterial small subunit ribosomal RNA
Source: RNAcentral